AGCAGCCGCGGUAAUUCCAGCUCCAAUAGCGUAUAUUAAAGUUGUUGCAGUUAAAAAGCUCGUAGUUGAAUUUCGGGGUUAGUAGAUUGGUCAUGCCUUUGGUAUGUACUGGUCUUACUGAUUCCUCCUUCCUGAUGAACCGUAAUGCCAUUAAUUUGGUGUUGCGGGGAGACUGGACUGUUACUUUGAAAAAAUUAGAGUGUUUAAAGCAGGCUAACGCUUGAAUACAUUAGCAUGGAAUAAUGAAAUAGGACGUUCGAUCUUAUUUUGUUGGUUUCUAGGAUUGACGUAAUGAUUAAUAGGGAUAGUUGGGGGCAUUAGUAUUCAAUUGUCAGAGGUGAAAUUCUUGGAUUUAUUGAAGACUAACUACUGCGAAAGCAUUUGCCAAGGAUGUUUUCAUUAAUCAAGAACGAAAGUUAGGGAAUCGAAGACGAUCAGAUACCGUCGUAGUCUUAACCAUAAACUAUGCCGACUAGGGAUCGGAUGAUGUUAAUUUUUUAAUGACUCA
Molecule: ribosomal RNA, 508 nt
Filed under: Glomus sp. Glo25
Lineage: Eukaryota; Fungi; Glomeromycota; Glomeromycetes; Glomerales; Glomeraceae
Description: SSU rRNA
Rfam family: Eukaryotic small subunit ribosomal RNA
Source: RNAcentral